Long non-coding RNA from Phasianus colchicus (ring-necked pheasant), 696 nucleotides. NCBI's taxonomy places the organism in Eukaryota, Metazoa, Chordata, Aves, Galliformes, Phasianidae. The record is from Ensembl.
CAUGUAUCUUGGAAUUCUUCUACCCAAAAGUCACUAACAGUGCUGUACUGGGGAAAGAAUGGACAUUUUUUAGCUUACCCUGGUGCAUUCCAUCUAUGGAUUUAGACUAUUCUUCACAUCAUUUGCAUGAAGAAGCUUACAGCUCUCCCCAGACAGAGUGCGGAUUACAAAUGUGUUGCUGAAGCCAUUGUGUGGAACAAAGGCAAACUCAGAGGACUCUGCUAUGAUGGGAUUCAGCUCAACAUUCUUUCUGUGCCCAAAAACUGUAUAAAUCUUAGCUGGUCCAACCUGAGCUUGACAAUGUAUAAAGAAGCAGAUGGACAAAAGGACCACUCCUUCUCUUGGUUGUAUACCAAAACUGAGGCAGGAGCAGCAUGGUACCUGGCUGUGAUGGAAGCAGAGAGAUGUGCUAAGGUUGAUGCUGUACUGACAACUGCACUAACAACCAGACUCCAAGAAGAGCACACCCUUCAGUGGCACACAAGAUUGCAGCAGCAUGACUUUUGGAUGGCCUUCACUUGCACAGUCUGCAUUACUGGCACAGGGUAUUUGGUCCUUGACAUGAAUUUUCAUGCUCUACCUCAGGUGAGUGCCAGGAAGAAGCACAAUGUGCUCAUCUCCAGCUCACAGAGGCAUUUGGAGACAGGAAGCAAGUUUAAGUGGAGUUUGGCAACACGUGGGGCAAACUUUUCCUGA